GGGGCUGAACGGUUUCGACUGCGUACGUUGAGUUAGGGGAAGCGUGUCGGUGCAGGCAAGAGAGACCACCGUAAGCGUCGCUGCAAACCAAUAAGCGCCGAUUCCAAUCAGCGCGACUACGCCCUCGCUGCCUAAGUAGCGACUGCGUGUCUGUCAGUCCGGGUUCGCCCUCGGCCCGGUACUGGCAUCAGCUAGAGGGCUUUACCGUUCCACUCGGUCGCGGAGUGGCACGGGACAUCCAACAGCGACUGGGAUCGUCAUCUCGGCUUGUUCGUGGGACCGGGAGAUCCAAGUAGAGGCAUAGCGAACUGCACACGGAGAAGCCCUGGCAAAGCGGCGGAGGACCCGGGUUCGAUUCCCGGCAGCUCCACCG
RNAcentral lists this transfer-messenger RNA (373 nucleotides) under Rhodococcus (subgen. Prescottella) equi. RNAcentral describes it as "Rhodococcus hoagii transfer-messenger RNA". It matches the Rfam family "transfer-messenger RNA". Rfam says of the family: Bacterial tmRNA, also known as 10Sa RNA or SsrA, is named for its dual tRNA and mRNA-like properties. Its role is to liberate the mRNA from a stalled ribosome. To accomplish this part of the tmRNA is used as a reading frame that ends in a translation stop signal. The record is from RNAcentral. Lineage: Bacteria; Bacillati; Actinomycetota; Actinomycetes; Mycobacteriales; Nocardiaceae.